CCUACGGGAGGCAGCAGUGAGGAAUCUUGGUCAAUGGGCGGGAGCCUGAACCAGCCAAGUCGCGUGAGGGAAGACGGUCCUAUGGAUUGUAAACCUCUUUAGGCGGGGAGCAAUGCCGGGCACGCGUGCCCGGAGGGAGAGUACCCGCAGCAUAAGCAUCGGCUAACUCCGUGCCAGCAGCCGCGGUAAUACGGAGGAUGCGAGCGUUAUCCGGAUUUAUUGGGUUUAAAGGGUGCGUAGGCGGAUUUUUAAGUCAGCGGUAAAAUGUCGGGGCUCAGCCCGGGCCGGCCGUUGAAACUGGGGAUCUGGAGUGGGCGAGAAGUAUGCGGAAUGCGUGGUGUAGCGGUGAAAU
Molecule: ribosomal RNA, 352 nt
Filed under: uncultured bacterium
Lineage: Bacteria
Description: partial 16S ribosomal RNA
Rfam family: Bacterial small subunit ribosomal RNA
Source: RNAcentral